GCUGGGCGUGGUGGCGGGCGCCUGUAAUCCCAGCUACUGGAGAGGCUGAGGUAGGAGAAUUGCUUGAACCCGGGAGGCGGAGGGUGCAGUGAGCUGAGAUGCCACUGCACUCCAGCCUGGGUGACAGAGUAAGAUUCUGUCUUGA
Molecule: non-coding RNA, 145 nt
Filed under: Gorilla gorilla gorilla (western lowland gorilla)
Lineage: Eukaryota; Metazoa; Chordata; Mammalia; Primates; Hominidae
Source: Rfam by way of RNAcentral